UAAUUUGUGAUUAUCAUCAAAAUGUAUUUAUUUUAUCUUCAGUUCUUUCAGUUUUGGGUGUGGUAGGUUGCAGGAGUUGCUGCUGCUGGUCUUUCUCUCGCUCAUGUUGCUGCAGAAGCGCAUCUGAGAUUGAGAACCUUGGUCAUAUUGAGAUUCUUGUUUGUGCUCAAAUUUGUUAUAUACUACUUGUUACAAUUCUUUUCUCCUUGAUGAAUUGGAAAAUCCCCUUUUAGUUUUUAAGUUUUUACUGAUUGGUUAGUCCUUCUUUUCCCCUUCCUGUUUUCUGAUUUCAUUUUUUCUUUCUCUUAUGGGUAACCAGUUACAAAAGGACCCUCUGUUAGUCAUUAUACCAAGCUGUUAUUUUCCUUAUAUAAGAACCCUUUGGAUAAUUGGAUUGAUUAGCAUUAGAAAAUGCCCUGCAAGUUUGUGGGAAUGGUUAUCUGGUUUAUGUUGGGAGGGUGCAUUUGCUGUCAUGUGUGGCUUUAUUAUCAAAGUUGGAAGAGAAGGAACUUCUGUGGCUUUAUGUUUUUUCUUCAUAGUUACGCGUUUGAUUGUAUUGUCAUCUCAUAGGGUUUGUUUCAGAUUCAGUAUGACACUAUAACUAGAAUGUAAAUUAAUACAUGUAAUUAUAUUUAGGCUUUUAGACACGUGUGAUUAAAAUUAAGCACGUGGUUCAGUUAGUAAGUUAGAAUUAGUUUUAGCUACAGUUAGUUAGUUAGUUAGAGAGUUUGUUAUGAGUUAGUUGAGAUUAGCUUAGUUGAUUAGCAUUUGUAUAUACAUUUCUGAUCAAUAAACAAACACUGAUUCAGAAUCUACAAAUUUUCUCUCAAUAUAAAUAAACCCAGAUUUCAAAAAAACCUUUUUUUGUAAAUAUGUUUUAGAUUUUGUUCCAUUAUCAUUUUGGUUUCGUCUUCGUAGAUUCAAUGUGUUAUUCUCAUGAUGUUGAUGCAUUUUGUUCAUAACUCAAUAGGUUAUUUAGGAAAAUAUAAAUGUUCUGUUUGGUUGUUUGAAGAGAUCACAUUAAGUUGUGCAAUUUGUCUCAAGUAAUUGCUAAUUUCAUUGACAUUGAGGUUUCUAACAACAUUCAUAUACUUGAGUUAUUAAGUUUACUGCAACUCCUUGUUAGUUGGAAUUAUGUGCUAAGGGAAGAGCCGGGGCAGAGAACAUGAGAGGUCGUACUAAAAGUGUGUUUGGAAUGCUACUACCAGGUUUCAAACAUAGAUGUUAGAUUUACUGAUCUAUAGUAUGCAAAGGAAGCCUACUGAUCCUCAAUCUGGUUGGGAUAAAUGCCAUGGUCAUGGAGAUUGAUGGGAAUGCAAAAGUGCGGUACAUUGCUGAAAAGGAAGAUGCAGAAAUUGUAAUGGAGCCACUGCCACAAAUUAGAGCUAAACUCAGUAGGAUUAAGCAAAAAUAGAUGAAAGAUUAUGAGGUGACAAUGACAUAGUUAAAGAUAUAUUUGUGGUUUUUACAUGGAGUGUGAUUAGAUGUUGGUUAGCUUAGUGAGAAAUUAUAUUAGUUUCCUUGGUCAAUACUAUAGGUUGGUUAUUAUGUAGUUACUUUCUUACGCUCUAUAUUUGCCACAUGAUUGGAUUCUUCUACACAUCAUAUUCAUUCAUUAAAUUUUAGAUUCUCUUUUCACUUUCUCCCAAUAUACUAUGUGGUUGUUGCCAUGUCUCUCAACACUCCAUAGUUAGAAUUCAAAGUACUGCCUUUUGGCUGUGUUCAGCACUUGUCUGCUAAGGCCUAAAGCUGAUUAUGUAUAAAAACAUCUAAUAUUAGGUUUAAUCUCCGAGUGUUAUUAUCUAAUACAUGAUUGGUCAAUGGUGUGAAAUUGAAAGUCUGAUUGCUGAUGAAAUUUUCUGCAAUAUUGUGAUCAGUUUCAUCUUCAGUGAAUCUACAUCUGAAUUUUUAACCAUCAGGAAGCACUGUAAAAGGCUCUAUACCUAUCCCCGAAGGUAUGAAGUCAAAAAUUUCAAAAGAUGAAUUCACAUGAGGUGAUUGACAGUAUCUCUACAUUUGAUAAUUUUAUACAGGGUUGUGCUCAUGCAUUCAUGAAACACAUUAGAGAAAGAAUUUUCUAACUCUGAUGCUUAAGGGUGUUGAAGAGCUUAAUGAUGUUUGAUGCUGCCAAAGUAACUAAAAAAAUAGUCACUUUUGUAUUUUUUGAUGUAUGAAUUAUGAUUGCUGAUCCCAGAUGUUUAUGAAGUCAUGUUCUUUCUUUUUAUGAGGGAAAAUAAGCACUAUUUGAUGCACGAGUGGAAGAUUAUAAGCACUAUAUGAAGAAAUAGCACAGGUUUGGACAAUAUCUGCUAAUGGGGAGAGAAAAUUGGUGAAUUAUUUGCCAAGGCUAUGGAGAAAGUUGGCAAAGAGGGAGUGAUCACAACUGCAAUAAGUUUUUUAUCUUAUCAUCAUAUUGACAAAGCCAUACCUUCUGUUGAAUCAAAUUUUGGGUGAUGAGACAGCAGUGCAUUAUUUUGAUGGUCAAAGAAAUUUAUGUUGCAGGAGGUAGAUGUCCGCAGAAUUCUGUAAGGUUUAUGGAACUUGCACAGUUCUCUUGUUUGGAAAAAGUCUUACCUAUGCUUCCAGUUCAGACUUGUAAUUGUAACAGUACAAAAUAGAAGGGUUUCUCUCUAGUUGUUCAGACUUGUUCUUGUUGCUCUAGCUGUUUGGUUUCAGAUUUCUCUAGUUGUAUAUGCUGUGUUCUGUCCCAACUAGGAGGGAUUGUUCCCAGUAACCUUUGAUUAUGAUGAAAUAAAGAUCUCUUUUGUUGUAAAAAAAAAC
Molecule: long non-coding RNA, 2781 nt
Organism: Lotus japonicus
Lineage: Eukaryota; Viridiplantae; Streptophyta; Magnoliopsida; Fabales; Fabaceae
Exons: 3
Source: RefSeq, a predicted model, not a curated record